This 81-nucleotide transfer RNA is filed under the name Oryctolagus cuniculus (rabbit). It matches the Rfam family "tRNA". From Rfam's summary of the family: Transfer RNA (tRNA) molecules are approximately 80 nucleotides in length. Their secondary structure includes four short double-helical elements and three loops (D, anti-codon, and T loops). Lineage: Eukaryota; Metazoa; Chordata; Mammalia; Lagomorpha; Leporidae. The record is from Rfam by way of RNAcentral.
GGCGCUGUGGCUUAGCAGGUAAAGCCGCCACCUGCAGUGCUGGCAUCCCAUAUGGCCCUGGUUCAAGUCCCGGCUGCUCCA